Molecule: long non-coding RNA, 1169 nt
Filed under: Parus major (Great Tit)
Lineage: Eukaryota; Metazoa; Chordata; Aves; Passeriformes; Paridae
Description: lncRNA (ENSPMJG00000000045.1)
Source: RNAcentral
CCGGCCCGGGGGGAUCCGCGGCCCCUCCGCCCCUGCCCUGGGGUGGCCGCGGGUGCGGAGCGGGCGCUGCGGGAUCCGCGGCCCCGGAGCGCGGAGCGGGGCCCGGAUUUCGUUUCGUGCGGAUCUCCCUCGAUUUCAGCAUCUUCUGCGCGAGAAAAUGGGAAAGGCGGCCGGGCUGCGGCCGCUUCCUACGGGAUCCCCGCCGCCGGCAUCUGCCCUCGGCGCCCCGGCUCCAGCGGGAGGUUUUCUCUGAGGGAGCAGCUUCGGUUUGGGGCCUGCUCCCAGCUCCAGGAUAACUCAAGCAGGAUUUGUAUCAAUUCGGGAACAAACCCGGACCCGCCGAGCGGGGACCUUGCUCGGGCUGGAGGUGCCCCUGGUUUCCCGAGAGGAAAACUUUGUCCGCGGAAUGCCCAGGAGAGGAGAGCCGGGUGGAUUCCUUCCCGCUGGAUUCCGGCCGGGAGCAGCUCCGGGAAGGGGAAAAAAGGCAUUUUCCUUUUGAACGAAAGAGCCGCCGGCAGUGCGAGCGCAGGGGCCGGGCAGGGGCGGCUGCACCGCGCUCGGGGGCGCCGGGGAGGGAAAAGGGGAUCCGGGAAAUCCAACCCGGAGGGGAUCCCGCAAGGAGCAAACGGAAGAGGAGGGAAGGAGAGGGAGAGAGGGACAGCACAGACACCGAACAGCGGCCGCGGGUCAUUUCUGGGCUGUCCGGGGUGGCGCAGGGCCAGCUCUGUGCCCGCGUCCAUCGGCACUCAGAGUCUCCCGUGGCGGUGGCCGGAGCCGGGCGGGGUCCCCGGGACCCCCGGCAGGUGCUGUCCCCUCGUUAAUCGGUAACGCCACCAUCAAAGGGCACCGUGCGGAAAAUCAGCGCCGGCCCCGAGCGAGGCCGCGGGCACGGCGAGGCCGCCACGGUAAAAGUUGACCAGACUUCAAAGCGCUGCUUCAUUUCCUCCUCUUCCCCCGGGCACAGCUCCUGCCCGGCCCGGAUUCCUUCUCAUCGGCCAUCCAGGGCGGCCCUGAGGGACACAGAGGGGAAAUGGGGGUCUACUUAGGGCAGGGAGGUUCAGGAGGUCCUUCCCCUGCUUCUUGAGCUUUUAUUUUAUUUUAUUUUAUUUCUUUAAUUUUCUUCUGUUUGAGAAUAUUCUGGAUUGGAAUAAAUCACCCAGCGGAUGCCA